ACUGAAUACAUAGGUGCAAGAGGCGAACCAGGGGAACUGAAACAUCUAAGUACCCUGAGGAAAAGAAAUCAACCGAGAUUCCCUUAGUAGUGGCGAGCGAACGGGGACUAGCCCUUAAGCUUCUUUGAUUUUAGCGGAACGCUCUGGAAAGUGCGGCCAUAGUGGGUGAUAGCCCUGUACGCGAAAGGAUCUUAGAAGUGAAAUCGAGUAGGACGGAGCACGAGAAACUUUGUCUGAAUAUGGGGGGACCAUCCUCCAAGGCUAAAUACUACUGACUGACCGAUAGUGAACUAGUACCGUGAGGGAAAGGCGAAAAGAACCCCGGAGAGGGGAGUGAAAUAGAUCCUGAAACCGUAUGCGUACAAGCAGUGGGAGCCCACUUUGUUGGGUGACUGCGUACCUUUUGUAUAAUGGGUCAGCGACUUAUUUUCAGUGGCGAGCUUAACCGAAUAGGGGAGGCGUAGCGAAAGCGAGUCUUAAUAGGGCGUCUAGUCGCUGGGAAUAGACCCGAAACCGGGCGAUCUAUCCAUGGGCAGGUUGAAGGUUAGGUAACACUGACUGGAGGACCGAACCGACUACCGUUGAAAAGUUAGCGGAUGACCUGUGGAUCGGAGUGAAAGGCUAAUCAAGCUCGGAGAUAGCUGGUUCUCCUCGAAAGCUAUUUAGGUAGCGCCUCAUGUAUCACUGUAGGGGGUAGAGCACUGUUUCGGCUAGGGGGUCAUCCCGACUUACCAAACCGAUGCAAACUCCGAAUACCUACAAGUGCCGAGCAUGGGAGACACACGGCGGGUGCUAACGUCCGUCGUGAAAAGGGAAACAACCCAGACCGUCAGCUAAGGUCCCAAAGUUAUGGUUAAGUGGGAAACGAUGUGGGAAGGCUUAGACAGCUAGGAGGUUGGCUUAGAAGCAGCCACCCUUUAAAGAAAGCGUAAUAGCUCACUAGUCGAGUCGGCCUGCGCGGAAGAUGUAACGGGGCUCAAACCAUACACCGAAGCUACGGGUAUCACGCAAGUGAUGCGGUAGAGGAGCGUUCUGUAAGCCUGUGAAGGUGAGUUGAGAAGCUUGCUGGAGGUAUCAGAAGUGCGAAUGCUGACAUGAGUAACGACAAUGGGUGUGAAAAACACCCACGCCGAAAGACCAAGGUUUCCUGCGCAACGUUAAUCGACGCAGGGUUAGUCGGUCCCUAAGGCGAGGCUGAAAAGCGUAGUCGAUGGAAAACAGGUUAAUAUUCCUGUACUUCUGGUUAUUGCGAUGGAGGGACGGAGAAGGCUAGGCCAGCUUGGCGUUGGUUGUCCAAGUUUAAGGUGGUAGGCUGAAAUCUUAGGUAAAUCCGGGGUUUCAAGGCCGAGAGCUGAUGACGAGUUACCCUCUGGGUGACGAAGUGGUUGAUGCCAUGCUUCCAAGAAAAGCUUCUAAGCUUCAGGUAACCAGGAACCGUACCCCAAACCGACACAGGUGGUUGGGUAGAGAAUACCAAGGCGCUUGAGAGAACUCGGGAGAAGGAACUCGGCAAAUUGGUACCGUAACUUCGGGAUAAGGUACGCCCUUGUAGCUUGAUGCGCCUGCGCGCAAAGGGUGAAGGGGUUGCAAUAAACUGGUGGCUGCGACUGUUUAAUAAAAACACAGCACUCUGCAAACACGAAAGUGGACGUAUAGGGUGUGACGCCUGCCCGGUGCCGGAAGAUUAAAUGAUGGGGUGCAAGCUCUUGAUUGAAGUCCCGGUAAACGGCGGCCGUAACUAUAACGGUCCUAAGGUAGCGAAAUUCCUUGUCGGGUAAGUUCCGACCUGCACGAAUGGCGUAACGAUGGCCACACUGUCUCCUCCCGAGACUCAGCGAAGUUGAAGUGUUUGUGAUGAUGCAAUCUACCCGCGGCUAGACGGAAAGACCCCGUGAACCUUUACUAUAGCUUUGCA
This 1915-nucleotide ribosomal RNA is filed under the name Burkholderia sp. NFACC33-1. Its description in RNAcentral is "bacterial LSU rRNA". It matches the Rfam family "Bacterial large subunit ribosomal RNA", at positions 157 to 2116 of the family's 2925-position model. The record is from RNAcentral. Lineage: Bacteria; Pseudomonadati; Pseudomonadota; Betaproteobacteria; Burkholderiales; Burkholderiaceae.